GGUGAGAUGGGGUGGCAAAGGGUCAACGGAGGAAGGCGCGAAACUGGAGAAGCCGAAAAAUGCCGUUGUCAGACUGCCAGAGCAAGAGUAUGAGCCCUGGGAACCCAAGCCGAAGAAGUGCAGCCUGCGGAAGCCGCCCCCGCCGGGCGAGUGGUAUGCCCCCAUCAAGGGCAAGCUGGACGCCAUCUGGGCCCUCAUCCGGCGCGGCUACGAUCACGUCUCUCUUCUGAGGCCGCAGCCAGGAGAGCAGUCUCUGAAUACGUUUGCGACGGGUGCUUGAGGGAGGCAAAGUGCAACAGAGCUGAUGCUCGGCAGCCGUCUUCACAAGCAGAUGCAUCCAUUCCUGUAUGAAGCCACGCAUUCAGUUUUUUGAAAUUGGCAUUAGCAGAGGUAAAAAGGCUGGUUUUAUU
This 410-nucleotide long non-coding RNA is filed under the name Varanus komodoensis (Komodo dragon). Its description in RNAcentral is "lncRNA (ENSVKKG00000004786.1)". The record is from RNAcentral. Lineage: Eukaryota; Metazoa; Chordata; Lepidosauria; Squamata; Varanidae.